ACUGAAAUGAAACUAUUCAAGACUGGGGAUGGAAAUUUUUGGACGCUUUGGGAGUCUAAGGCUGGGAUUUUGGAGCAUAGCGGAUACGAGGUACAGAAUCAGGAAAUAACGAAGGAGAGGAAUAAUAACAUUCUGUCCUCAUUUGAAAUGUAAACAAGUCAGCAACAAUAACAGGCAAGAAAAAUAAUGAACAGAAAUAUUAACAGGAUGAAUGGGAAAGGAUGCUCAUUUGGAGCAUAAAGUUCUUAUACGGAUACAAUGGAGCAAAUAGGAAGCACCUGUAUUGCAGCUUCAAGAUGGCGGAAAGGUUUUGGGAGUCAGGAUGUGAUUCAUUCACUACAGGGCAUUUAACCUUAGAUCUGUUUUUCAUUUAUGUGAGUGGUCUCGCUGAAUUUCUAGUAAAUGGUGAUUCCCUAGGCUGUUGACCCUGAAGAACUGUGAUAGCAAUGUCACUGGAUUUCAAAGUUGCGGUUAGAUUGUCCCACGUUGGAGAUGGUCAUUCCUAAUGAAGCAUCUGAAAAUAAUUGUGCCGAGGGUACAAUCUUAUUGGAAUCAUGAGACUGUGAUGAUUAUCUUACAGUAACGAAAGCCAUCUUCCUGGAGAAGUAUGGCUCCAAAUGAUGGAGCAUUUUCCUUUGAUUAAUGUUUCCCAUGGCUAAAUGUUAGUGGUUUACACCAUUUACAGAGGCAGGAUUGCAGAGAGUUGAGUUUGGCUGUUAUUUACAAGACAACUGAACCAUAUUUUUGGCAUUCAUGUAGUUAAUAUUGCAACUUUGCCAUGUUGGCAAUUCGCUAUGGUAUGCCUAGUGCUAUAUCUGCCAUACCCUUCCACUCUCUUUACUGAACCCAGACUGAUCUCCUGGCUUGACUUUAAUGACAAAAAGACACUAAGUGCUGGAGUAAUUCAGUAGGUCAGGCAGCAUCUCUGGAGAAUGUGGAUAGGUGAUGUUUCAGGACAAAACUCUUCUUCAACCAAAAGACAUUGGAACAGAAUUAAGUCAUUCGGCCCAUCGAGUCUACUCUGCUAUUCAGUCAUAGUUCAUUUAUUUUUCCCUUUCAACAUUCUCCUGCCUUUUCCAAUAACCUUUGAUACCCUUACUAAAAAAGAACCUAUCAAUCUCUGCUUUA
Molecule: long non-coding RNA, 1128 nt
Organism: Leucoraja erinaceus (little skate)
Lineage: Eukaryota; Metazoa; Chordata; Chondrichthyes; Rajiformes; Rajidae
Exons: 3
Source: RefSeq, a predicted model, not a curated record